Pezoporus flaviventris is the source of this 1539-nucleotide long non-coding RNA. RefSeq lists it as uncharacterized. NCBI's taxonomy places the organism in Eukaryota, Metazoa, Chordata, Aves, Psittaciformes, Psittacidae. The transcript is spliced from 2 exons. The record is from RefSeq and is a predicted model, not a curated record.
CCCUCUGAGGAAGACCGUGGUACACUGUACAAGGUGGCCAGCUUCUUCUCAGCCACUGGAAUGAUGGCUUUGGCGGGUAGUGAAACAUCUUCUGGCCAUCUCCAAGCAUCCCUCACGUUUGUGCCCCAUAGCCUGGUUGGAGUGAAGCCAGAGCAACUCAACAGGCCAUGCAUGGGGAAGGGAGCAGAUGGCCUUGCUGCAUCCAGUACCUCCAGUACUGAAGUCACUGGACUGGUCUCAUUCCCCGGUCAUUUUCCCAUGUGGAUUCAGUUCAGCCUCUAGUCCUCAGACCCUCCAGCUAGCGCAGGUAGGACAAAAAGUUUACUUCCUGCAGAAAACCAUGACUCUGCCCUCAGAAAGGCUGGAAAGCCCAAGCCUGGGACAAUUCAGCAGCCACAGGUUGAGGUGCCUCAGCGAGGGACGCACACAGGAAUAAAUACUGGAGAAUCACUGUUCCUAAAAUGAUCCUUCAUUUGUUGGCUGCUGGUCGCAACCACUGACCUCAGAGCAUUAAUAAUCCUGAAGGGCUCUGGAGGCUUUUUGGCAUGUGCAUUUUAAUGUAAUAAGCUUUGGCAUCUGAAAUGUUUUUUCCCUUCUUGGCUUCUCCUUUGGGCUUGGAAACAACAGGGUCAGCUCAGUCUUCGAGCAAAAGGAUGAAGACAACCCUCACUUUAAUGCGCAGAAUUAUAUCAUCAGCGGCCAGAGGUCACAUCCUGCUGUCUUUAUAAAGAUAACUCCAGCCCCCUCUCUUUUUCCCCAGUCUUUUAUAAACCUGGCUCAACCCAUACCCCAUAGCAGCAGGACUACACAGAGCAACAUCUUGGAUUAGUUACGAGCUUUUCAGAUGCGCUCCAACUCAUAUUUCAUAUCAUCCCCCCCCCCCAGCCAUAAGAUCUGAGUUUGUCACAUUUACUGGAGACUGAAGUACAAACAUGUUUUAUUCAUUAUCUGUCCUCUUCUUCGCAACAAGCACCUGCAAAACAUUUCAGCUCUAGACCGGAUCAACAAGGCUUCAUUAGGCAUGACACUUUCUCCCUGGCUUGGAUGAUGAAGCUACACUUUAUCCUUGCACUUCUAGUCUGUAAAAUUGCCCAGAGAUCAUCACCUUAGAAGAAGGCAGACACUCAAGGCCUCGUGACUGAGGUGGAGAAAAAGAGGUUGAGGUAAUUACACAGCCCUGAUUGCUGUGAGCUGAGGGACAUGGAGCUAUUUCAGCCUUGUUGCACCACAGCUCUGCUUUAUCAGCAGCAGAAUGGAGGAUCCCAGCUUUUGCACAGUCUCAGACAGGGAGUUUGCAAGCCCUUGGGAGCAGCCUCUAUUUUUAUCUCUAUUUUAAUCAGUGGUCAAUAUUGGAGAAGUGAUUCAACUCUCUUUGCCAACUGCAGCCCCAUCCUUUCCUUUUUGCCAGCUCUUCCCUCUUGGUUGAUGAAUAUUUAUUAGAUGCAAAGCAGAAAAACUUCACCAAGAGAGGCAAAGAAGCUCUUUUCCCUGCAAAAUCCAGCAGCUUGGGGUAAGCCUUGGAAAAACAGGAGUAACAAG